RNAcentral lists this ribosomal RNA (1476 nucleotides) under Priestia megaterium. Its description in RNAcentral is "bacterial LSU rRNA". It matches the Rfam family "Bacterial large subunit ribosomal RNA", at positions 1 to 1472 of the family's 2925-position model. The record is from RNAcentral. Lineage: Bacteria; Bacillati; Bacillota; Bacilli; Caryophanales; Bacillaceae.
AUGGUUAAGUUAGAAAGGGCGCACGGUGAAUGCCUUGGCACUAGGAGCCGAUGAAGGACGGGACUAACACCGAUAUGCUUCGGGGAGCUGUAAGUGAGCUUUGAUCCGGAGAUUUCCGAAUGGGGAAACCCACUGUUCGUAAUGGAACAGUAUCCUUACCUGAAUACAUAAGGUAUUGAAGGCAGACCCGGGGAACUGAAACAUCUAAGUACCCGGAGGAAGAGAAAGCAAAUGCGAUUUCCUGAGUAGCGGCGAGCGAAACGGAAUUAGCCCAAACCAAGAGGCUUGCCUCUUGGGGUUGUAGGACACUCUAUACGGAGUUACAAAGGAACGAAGUAAAUGAAGCGACCUGGAAAGGUCCGUCGAAGAAGGUAACAACCCUGUAGUUGAAACUUCGUUCCCUCUUGAGUGGAUCCUGAGUACGGCGGAACACGUGAAAUUCCGUCGGAAGCUGGGAGGACCAUCUCCCAAGGCUAAAUACUACCUAGUGACCGAUAGUGAACCAGUACCGUGAGGGAAAGGUGAAAAGCACCCCGGAAGGGGAGUGAAAGAGAUCCUGAAACCGUGUGCCUACAAGUAGUCAGAGCCCGUUAACGGGUGAUGGCGUGCCUUUUGUAGAAUGAACCGGCGAGUUACGAUCCCAUGCAAGGUUAAGCUGAUAAGGCGGAGCCGUAGCGAAAGCGAGUCUGAAUAGGGCGUUUAGUAUGUGGUUGUAGACCCGAAACCAGGUGAUCUACCCAUGUCCAGGGUGAAGUUCAGGUAACACUGAAUGGAGGCCCGAACCCACGCACGUUGAAAAGUGCGGGGAUGAGGUGUGGGUAGCGGAGAAAUUCCAAUCGAACCUGGAGAUAGCUGGUUCUCUCCGAAAUAGCUUUAGGGCUAGCCUCAUGUUGURAGAGUCUUGGAGGUAGAGCACUGAUUGGACUAGGGGCCCCCAACGGGUUACCGAAUUCAGUCAAACUCCGAAUGCCAAAGACUUAUCCAUGGGAGUCAGACUGCGAGUGAUAAGAUCCGUAGUCAAAAGGGAAACAGCCCAGACCACCAGCUAAGGUCCCCAAGUAUACGUUAAGUGGAAAAGGAUGUGGAGUUGCUUAGACAACCAGGAUGUUGGCUUAGAAGCAGCCACCAUUUAAAGAGUGCGUAAUAGCUCACUGGUCGAGUGACUCUGCGCCGAAAAUGUACCGGGGCUAAACGUAUCACCGAAGCUGUGGAUUGACAUCUUUGAUGUCAGUGGUAGGAGAGCGUUCUAAGUGCWGYGAAGUCAGACCGUAAGGACUGGUGGAGCGCUUAGAAGUGAGAAUGCCGGUAUGAGUAGCGAAAGACAAGUGAGAAUCUUGUCCACCGAAUGCCUAAGGUUUCCUGAGGAAGGCUCGUCCGCUCAGGGUUAGUCGGGACCUAAGCCGAGGCUGAAAAGCGUAGGCGAUGGCCAACAGGUUGAUAUUCCUGUACCACCUCCCCGCCGUUUGAGUAAUGGGG